Molecule: ribosomal RNA, 447 nt
Filed under: uncultured bacterium
Lineage: Bacteria
Description: partial 16S ribosomal RNA
Rfam family: Bacterial small subunit ribosomal RNA
Source: RNAcentral
AACGAACGCUGGCGGCAGGCUUAACACAUGCAAGUCGAACGCCCCGCAAGGGGAGUGGCAGACGGGUGAAUAACGCGUGGGAAUCUACCGUGCCCUGCGGAAUAGCUCCGGGAAACUGGAAUUAAUACCGCAUACGCCCUACGGGGGAAAGAUUUAUCGGGGUAUGAUGAGCCCGCGUUGGAUUAGCUAGUUGGUGGGGUAAAGGCCUACCAAGGCGACGAUCCAUAGCUGGUCUGAGAGGAUGAUCAGCCACAUUGGGACUGAGACACGGCCCAAACUCCUACGGGAGGCAGCAGUGGGGAAUAUUUGACAAUGGGCGCAAGCCUGAUCCAGCCAUGCCGCGUGAGUGAUGAAGGCCUUAGGGUUGUAAAGCUCUUUCACCGAUGAAGAUAAUGACGGUAGUCGGAGAAGAAGCCCCGCCUAACUUCGUGCCAGCCGCCGCUGUAA